This 427-nucleotide ribosomal RNA is filed under the name uncultured beta proteobacterium. RNAcentral's name for it is "bacterial SSU rRNA". It matches the Rfam family "Bacterial small subunit ribosomal RNA", at positions 355 to 774 of the family's 1533-position model. The record is from RNAcentral. Lineage: Bacteria; Pseudomonadati; Pseudomonadota; Betaproteobacteria.
UGGGGAAUUUUGGACAAUGGGCGCAAGCCUGAUCCAGCCAUGCCGCGUGAGUGAAGAAGGCCUUCGGGUUGUAAAGCUCUUUUAGCCGGAAAGAAAGAGUUGCAAUGAAUACUUGUGAUUUAUGACGGUACCGACAGAAAAAGCACCGGCUAACUACGUGCCAGCAGCCGCGGUAAUACGUAGGGUCCGAGCGUUAAUCGGAAUUACUGGGCGUAAAGGGUGCGCAGGCGGUCUUGCAAGUCAGAUGUGAAAGCCCCGGGCUUAACCUGGGAAUUGCGUUUGAAACUACAAGACUAGAGUGCAGCAGAGGGGAGUGGAAUUCCAUGUGUAGCAGUGAAAUGCGUAGAGAUGUGGAAGAACACCGAUGGCGAAGGCAGCUCCCUGGGUUGACACUGACGCUCAUGCACGAAAGCGUGGGGAGCAAACA